This 1648-nucleotide long non-coding RNA is filed under the name Triticum aestivum (bread wheat). Its description in RNAcentral is "long non-coding RNA (TAES_LNC010070)". Lineage: Eukaryota; Viridiplantae; Streptophyta; Magnoliopsida; Poales; Poaceae. The record is from RNAcentral.
UGGAAAUAAAGAGAAAAAUUUCUGAAAUUCUCUGAUUCCACUGAAAAAUCAGUGAAGGACAUUGCAAGCCAGAAUAAGAUCCAGUACAUUAAAAUUUUCAGUUCAUACAUACACCAAAAUCCAUCCAAAUAAAAUCAGAAAUUCUCUGAAUUUUUAGUGUACCACAUACACCACUAGUAUGCAAAUAACUUAACUAAUUACUUUGAGCUGAAAAAUAAGUCAACUAAUAAGGACCACCUCCAGCACAGAAACUUCCUACCUGACCAAAGAAUCACCGCCAGACUCAAUAUCAAUCACCUCUACUGUCUUGGUGGAAUCAUCAUUGGAAUUGUUCUCUCUUGCAGAAGAGGGGUCAUUUUCAAUAUUUUCACAUAUACACGUAGCCCGGUUGUCAUAGAAUCGCCUCUUUCCAGCACGACUUCCAUGGCAUCUCCCGUAGGUCCUUUCUGAAUUACUUGCACCUGUGCCCAGCAUUCAUCCCAUGACAUAUCUCCCCUGUUUAUAAAUAAGCUGUAGAGUUGUUUAACAUUUUCUUGUGGCCAAUAUAUCUCGUGCGAAAAACAGUUUCAUAAUUUAGAAUGAACUAAGACGAGCACGAAUGUAUAUAGUGAACAAGGAUGUGCAACAACAAGUAUUCUGUCCAUGUUGCAAUUAUUUUCAGAAUCAGUUCCAUCAUAGAUAAAAUCAAUUGAAGUCACGAGAGAUGAGUAUGAAACACAUAAUGCAAACCGACUAAGAUAACCGAAGAUCACAUCGUAACUAACGUAAGAAGCAAAUGGGCAUUUGACUACUAUAAAUCAGAGCAAAAGUGUCAGGGGCAUGCUUGCCUUGGGAGUUCAGCAGACACCUCUCCAUAGAGGUUACUUUGCUUGGCACUGCCCUCGCCGUAAGCCCGUCACGGGAUCGGUAACUGCUUGUACGAGUACUAGUAAUAACACCAAGAAUCAUCAUAGCAUUCCGCUACAUUACAUUCAGAAGGAAAGAAUUAUUGCAUUAAUGCAUAAGCCAUUUAGAGCGGCACUGACUACUUCUGUACCAACCAUGCCAAUCGAGAUUGAGAGAUUUAGGGAACUCGAAUCCAGAUAUGAACUGCAAACCUGCGUUUCCAUCCUCCAGCCGACUGAUAUGAACUAGAAUUGCACAGAGAUACAGCUCCCUGGAUCAACACCUGCGUUUCUAUCCACCACCCAGUGGUUAUGUACAAGACUUUGAAUCGCCAUGGCCGGACUUGGGGUGCAUCAGUUGUUCGUAUGUCAGGAGAAAUCAGAACGGAUGAACUAGGAGUACCAUCCACCACAUUGGAUCUUGGAAAAGGAUUCGGCAUAACAGAUCAGAUGAGAACCGAGGUAUAUUCACAUUAGUUCAUAUGGAGAAUGGCGACGAACUAACCUGGAACUUGAAUCGAGAUCCAGAUCAGCAGCGAUAGAUUCGAUAAUAUCGAUUCCAGGAGUGCGACGGGAUUUGCUAUUCCUCCCAUAAGAGGUCCACGGCCGCGGCGUAGUUCGAUGAUUCCUUGAUCCUUAUUGCCUCCGCGAGGCUCCAUGGAUUCCAUUGACAGCUAGUGAGAGGGCGCGCGGCCGGAUUGUGUUACGAGAGGGUGGAAGUGGUGAGACAGCUAUGGAUUUGUUUGAUGGGAGGUGGAAGGAGG